Molecule: long non-coding RNA, 296 nt
Organism: Hyla sarda
Lineage: Eukaryota; Metazoa; Chordata; Amphibia; Anura; Hylidae
Exons: 4
Source: RefSeq, a predicted model, not a curated record
CUGGAACAGAAGAUACGGCAGGAAAUUGUGGAGGAAGCAGAGCAUGGAAUGGGACCAGUACCCCUUUAAGAUGAUCCAUACUCUUCCUAAAAAGCAAUCGCCAGCAAUUACUAAUGUGACAAUGUACAGCAACAUUAGCUACAAGCAAGGUGAAAUCUAGACAAACAUUCCCCAUUUUUUUCUCUUGUGGACAGAUAGGACUGCUUUGUUCAAUUAUAGUUUUGCACACUAUGGCUCUUCUUUGGGCAUAAUAUUUACAGUUGUAAAUCAAUAGGUGCUGGGGAGGGUGUCUUUAU